This is a long non-coding RNA of Astatotilapia calliptera (eastern happy), 1017 nucleotides long. Lineage: Eukaryota; Metazoa; Chordata; Actinopteri; Cichliformes; Cichlidae. The record is from Ensembl.
CUUAAAAAAGGAAGCUGAGGCUGAGGGAAAGCUAUAUCCCAGCCUGAAGGACUUCCUGAGUGGCCCACCCCCACCUUAUAUUUGUCCAGUGGUGGCCCUGGAGGGUGGUACUAUGUGGGGGCCCGAAGGAAAAACAGGAAAAGUGACAGGUGGAAUUGUCAACUUACAGGAGAAUCCUCCAUCAUCGACAUCUGCUCCAGCCACAGUGGAGGCAGACACAGGAGUAGUGCAGUCACAAUCAGGGGCACCUGCACAGAAAGCAAUGCAGUCUCAAUCAGCGGCAGCUGCAUCAGAGCCCAGAUAGAGCUACAGAAGAAGCUCAACCUGUGGCGUCUACAAGUACCGGACAGGUGACAUUGCAACAGCCCAGCCAGGAAAAUCCAUCCCAGGAGGUCUGGACUUCAGAGGAAGACUCACCUUCAAUGCAGUAUCAGAAGGCGCCAUCAAAGGCGACCCGAAAAACUACUCAGAGGUCAACGGUUGAUGAUUCUGAGAGGGAACAGUGGCAAGGCCACGUUUUCGGAAAAGAAUCUGACAAUCGGGAGGCCGUGAUUCAGCUGGAACGCCUCCUGACAAAAUUAGAGGAGGAAGGCGUGGCAACACCACGUAGCGUGGCACAAACACUCUAUGCCUUGGAAAAGGACUUGGCGGCCUCAGUAGAAAGCAACACACGAAAAUCCAGAGAAGUGUCAAACCUGCAAAGGGGGGGAUUUGCCCCAAAGUUUCAGACUCCCACAGGAAGGACGACCCUUCGCUCUGGGAGGGUUCUGGAGGAACCAAGAGAUAAAAGACCGUCCAUCUUUGAGAAGAACCAGAGGAAGACGGUUGCAUUGCCAACUGAAGAAGGGCAGGGUGACACAGAGGAGGAAUUAUCCCUCACAAUGCCUUUAUUGAAGGGAGGAAGGGGUGAACCAGUCUACCACCCCUACAAUAUCAGAGAUCUUGAGGCUCUGGUGAAGCAGCUGCCCCCAAUCACGGAGGGAGGAGCCGCUUGGUUGAGGAGACUAGGAAGUCUUA